GACGAACGCUGGCGGCGUGCCUAAUACAUGCAAGUCGUGCGGACCUUUUAAAAGCUUGCUUUUAAAAGGUUGCUUUUAAAAGGUUAGCGGCGGACGGGUGAGUAACACGUGGGCAACCUGCCUGUAAGAUC
This 131-nucleotide ribosomal RNA is filed under the name Heyndrickxia coagulans. RNAcentral's name for it is "Bacillus coagulans partial 16S ribosomal RNA". It matches the Rfam family "Bacterial small subunit ribosomal RNA", at positions 28 to 139 of the family's 1533-position model. Lineage: Bacteria; Bacillati; Bacillota; Bacilli; Caryophanales; Bacillaceae. The record is from RNAcentral.